ACUCAAGGGUGAGCCCUUCCCUGGGGGUGCAGCCUUCGCUGGAGGGUGCAUCCUCCCCUCGGGGUGCGCCGUGGCACAUGUUGCCUCUCCACUCACUGCUCUUUCUUGGCUGCCUCCUUCCUGGGCUUUGCAUCAUGCUUGGGCAUUUUGGCUAUUCAAGAACCUCGCGCUGCAUGAAGAAAGAUGCAUUCUGUGUGACUCUGGAGGCUUUUCGAGCAGAGAGAAACAGCAGGUUCACAGCCCUCGGCUUGUUCCUCCUCCUGCUCACACUUCACCCUUCACCCUGGCUGACCUGCGUGUGCCAAACACGGUUGUGAGCUCCCACAGAACGAGGAGAGGCAGCCCGUUCCGCUGCAUCUCCCCAGGGCACCGGCAAGGACAGGCAAAGCCUCGUUGACUGAAUUCACGGAGAGCAGAGACUGCGCCCAGGCCUCGACCCCAGGACUUCUGUGUUGUGUGAGACGUGCUAGUGAUGCCGCUUUAAGCUCUGCUUUGAAAAUGGUCCUUUGACAGAUUCUGAAUGCAAGUGGCCUCCUUACGAGAUCCUGCAGAAUAACAAGGACAACUUAUCACAACUUCCUCAUUGUAAAAUCCAGCUCAGAUUGCAGUUGAAGAUCACAAAUGCUCUCUGUUUCACUUUGCGAUGUUUGUGGUGUCUAAUACAGCAACACAAGCCUAGGUUUCUGUGCAAAGACUUCCUUAUUGUUUAUUUACUAUCCACUUCCUCUGAGCAGGACUGAUCGACUUUUCACUUCUUAGGCCCCUGGUGGGUGGCCUAACAUUGGGAACGUCUCUGGGAAUCAAUGGCCUCCCAUGCUAUUGCCCUAAGAGGAAAAACUAUGGACCCAUUUCCGGCUCGUGAGUUGGAAGUGGAGGUCUGCUGGCGGCCUUUGUCUCCCUGCCUUCCCCUCCUGUCACUGGCUGGAACAUGUGCUUGAUGCCUGGCGUUCAGCAGCCCUGUUGAAACUGUGAGGUGACUGGCAGGUGUCAGAAGGAAAGCAAACUGCCUAGUGACGGCAGAGGCUGCAUGCACUCCACUGCCCUCUGCUCCACUGUCCACUCACCUCCGCUGGCUCUGUGCCCCAAGGCCCUGGCCUCUAUGGCCGGCAUCCAUGGGCUUCCCUAUCCUCUGGCCUCCAGGUGGAUUCAGUCACAGCAGAAGCUGGGAGGGGCAGCUGGAGGUUGGAGAAACAUGAGGCUAGUGUCCAGUUCCCUCCCUGGCCGAGGCAGCCGUGGAGGUGCUCCUUUCCAGGAAGCCAGCACUCCUUUCCGGUGGUCCUGCUCUGACCACGGCAGCUCGAGCUGAGCACAGAGUGACGGCUACAGCUCCCUCCACAUCUGGCCUGGGGUGGGAACAGCUCCUGGAUGCUUCUUCUUCCUGUGCUGGCAUCCCUUAGUCCCUCCCACCUUUUUUUUUUUAAUAUAAUAAACCUGCUUUGUUCAAUCCUCCUCAACCACCCACUGAAGCAAGCCCUCCUUUCCUUGCCGGGACCCAGAGAGCUGCUGGGAAAGAAAGGGUGGGCCCCCCGCAGUGUGGUCAGCACCUGGGCAGACCCCACCCACCUUCUAUGAUGAAAGCCCUGGAUGGAUUCCUAUCCCCACCCUGAGCUCCUCCCCUAACUCCCCAAAACAUUGGGAAGAUGGGCCUUCUGUCCUGGAAGGGCCAGUCUCCUGGGCAGAGCGCUAUGCAUAAGAAGGAAAGCCGUGUUACUCAAUGGUUCUACUGAACCACUAAGCAACAGGGGCUCUGGGGGCACUGUGGAGAUAGAGAACCCUUAGGAAGGCGAUGCUGGAUCCUAUGGGUCUCAACAGAGGGCCUUACGGGGCCACUGUAACAACCAACCACGAAUGGGAGGCUCAACACAACUGAAACGCACGUCCUCACAGUCCUGGAGGCCCGAACUCCAAAACCAAGGCGCCAGCAGGGCCACGCUUCCUCCACGGAGCCUCGGGGAGCAGACGGUCUUGAGACGAGACUUGCUCCCGCAACCCUUUCCCAGCUGCAGCUGCCUCUCCGCCAUCUCUGCCUCCGUGGCCACGCGGCAUCUUCUCCCUGGCAUGGGCUGAACCACCGCAUCUCGGGCAGGGAAGAAAAAAAUGCUGGCAACUAAACCGUGAGGUCCCUUCAAGAGUAAAAUGGAACCUAAGAGGAAGACGGAACCUAACAGAGAUGUCGGGAGGAGAAGCAGCAUGCAUCUUAGAAUUGAUAAGCACGAUACAUGACGACAGGUGUUUUGGUUUUUUGUUUGUUUGUUUGUUUGUUUUUGAGACAGUCUCGCUCCCUCUCCAGGCUGGAGUGCAAUGGCGUGAUUUCAGCUCACUGCAACCUCCACUUUCCGAGUUCAAGCGAUU
This 2352-nucleotide long non-coding RNA is filed under the name Homo sapiens (human). RNAcentral's name for it is "HSALNT0344335". Lineage: Eukaryota; Metazoa; Chordata; Mammalia; Primates; Hominidae. The record is from RNAcentral.